GUCCAGAUUGGAUCCAGCCUAUCCUCCUCCUUUUCUCCUCCUCUCAGCCCUCAAAUUAUUCGUCGUUCAAGAAAUGGCAAUGGCCAGCAGCAUCGCCAGACGAAAGGCCGCCUCGCCUUUUCUGUCCCCCGAAAAUAUCAAGUCCUGCUAUUCUUUUUUUCUCACCACCAGAGGCUUCGCUUCCGCCUCUGAUGACAACGACGUCGUCGUCAUCGGUGGUGGACCCGGCGGAUAUGUCGCCGCCAUCAAAGCUGCCCAGCUCGGUCUCAAAACCACCUGCAUCGAGAAACGUGGCUCUCUCGGCGGCACCUGUCUCAACGUCGGUUGUAUCCCUUCCAAGGUACCUCCUCCUCCUCCUCCUCCUAUGUUUUCCCCUUUUUUGGGUUUCUUCUCUCUCCCUCUUUCUUUACAUGGCUUCUGCUUCUUCUUCUUUUUUCCAUUUGUUUUUUUUUUCUCUCAAAGACUUUUAUAGGAUUCCACCAAAUCUAUUUAUUUUUGUUAUUUAUUUGUCUCUUCAACCGUUCAAUUGUUUUUUCGUUUUUCCUUUUUUUGUGGGUGGGGGGGGGGGAAUUUUGAUUAGCUGAGCUUAUGAUAGAUUGAUGAGGCUGUGAAUUCUGAUUUAUUUCUGUUGUUAUAAUAUCUUUUCUUUUUCUAAUUUAAUGAAUGCAAUUUCGAAUUGAGCUGCUCUUUCUUUCUCUUUUCUUUUCUUUUCUUUUAAGUUCUUCCUAAGUGAGGUUGAAGUUGGUGGUGAACUGCUGAAAUUUUUAUGGAGCUUUGAAUACUUUGAAUUUGAUUUCGAUGAACCUGUGCAUUUCAGAGAACAAUUCACCUUGGGUGUACCUCAAGUAUUACUAUCUAUGUCACUAUGUGACUUGACUGCUGAUUCUGAUUUUUUUUCAAACUAAGCAAUAACUGAUAUUAAAUUGCUGAAAUGUCCGAAAAGGGAAAAGGGAAAGGUCGAACUUAUAUUGCAGAUACACUUGACGAUUUAUAUCAGUGAUUAGUGUGCAAUUAUAGAGUGUAAAGGGUUUCUUUUGUGCUUUCUCAGUGCCACUAGGGCGAAGUAUGCUCUUCAUAUUCACAACUUCAUUUGCAACGUACAAGUUACUGUAUCUUAGAGGGGUGUUGUAUGUUGUUGCAAUGAUUUUUUAUUGUACGUGCUGUUAAACUAAUUAGCUUGUGCAAUGUGGUGGAAAUUAGGCAUUCUCCUAUUAAGGCUCAUCUAUGAGAAACAUGGCAAUCUAGAUGUUCUUGAUUGGUUUGAGGUAGUUCUUCCUCCAGUAAUAAUCACCUUGUGAUUCGGUAGGAUAUCUGAGCUGCAUCUAUAUUCUUACUGAUUUGGCUCUUUCUUAGCAUUCCACUUAAAAAAAAAAAAACUCAUCGUCUUAAUAUUCUUAUAAGUCUCUGCCUGUGAAAUCUCUGCCUGUGAAAUACGUGGGAAAUUUCCAAAGGUUGUCGCUGAGUGUUUUAGGUUUUCACAUUAUCUCGUUUGCUAUUCAUGUCUUUGAAUUCAAAUUUGUUUUUCUCGAAAUGAUUGCAGGGCCAUCCUUUACAAUAAUUGAAUAAUCAUCAAGCGGACUCUCGCUCAUGGCUAUUUUUGACAGCAUAAAUGUUGCUUUACUUUCCGCCCUUGCCCAUCUGGUUGAUAAUUUUGCUAAAUUUUGAGAUAGCUGACCAGUUUUGCACUUUACCUACCAUAACUGGUACCUUAUUCUGGAUUUGCUGCUGAACUUUAGCAAAUUUAUCCUUGUUGUACAGGCACUUCUUCAUUCGUCACACAUGUUCCAUGAAGCCAAGCAUUCUUUUGCCAGUCAUGGAGUGAAACUCUCUUCUGUUGAAGUUGAUCUACCAGCUAUGUUGGCCCAGAAAGAUAAAGCUGUGUCUAACUUGACCCGAGGUAUUGAAGGUCUGUUCAAGAAGAACAAAGUCAACUAUGUUAAGGGUUAUGGCAAAUUUCUCUCCCCUUCAGAGGUUUCUGUUGACACCAUUGAAGGUGGUAAUACUGUUGUGAAAGGGAAGAAUAUAAUAAUCGCCACUGGUUCUGAUGUCAAGAGUCUACCCGGGGUAGCCAUUGAUGAGCAGAGAAUUGUGUCAUCAACUGGUGCUUUGUCCUUGUCAGAAGUCCCCAAGAAACUGGUUGUUAUUGGAGCUGGGUAUAUUGGCCUUGAAAUGGGCUCUGUUUGGGGGCGUCUUGGCUCUGAGGUAACUGUUGUUGAAUUUGCACCUGAUAUUGUUCCAACCAUGGACGGCGAAAUCCGCAAACAAUUCCAGCGUGCCCUUGAGAAACAGAAGAUGAAAUUUAUGCUCAAAACCAAGGUUGUAUCAGUUGACACUGCUGGGGAGACAGUGAAGUUGACGCUUGAGUC
This 2366-nucleotide long non-coding RNA is filed under the name Coffea arabica (coffee). RNAcentral's name for it is "long non-coding RNA (CARA_LNC002059)". Lineage: Eukaryota; Viridiplantae; Streptophyta; Magnoliopsida; Gentianales; Rubiaceae. The record is from RNAcentral.